GGGCACUUGGUCUAGGGGUAUGAUUUUCGCUUCGCAUUUGUUAAAUGUGUGACUGUGAAAGGUCAUGGGUUCAAUUCCCAUAGUGUCCA
This is a non-coding RNA of Piedraia hortae CBS 480.64, 89 nucleotides long. The record is from the annotation of a GenBank genome assembly. NCBI's taxonomy places the organism in Eukaryota, Fungi, Ascomycota, Dothideomycetes, Capnodiales, Piedraiaceae.